GGGCCGAUAGCUCAGGAGGCUAGAGCACACGGCUGAUAACCGUGAGGUCGGAGGUUCGAAUCCUCCUCGGCCCA
RNAcentral lists this transfer RNA (74 nucleotides) under Thermovirga lienii DSM 17291. It matches the Rfam family "tRNA". Rfam says of the family: Transfer RNA (tRNA) molecules are approximately 80 nucleotides in length. Their secondary structure includes four short double-helical elements and three loops (D, anti-codon, and T loops). The record is from Rfam by way of RNAcentral. Lineage: Bacteria; Thermotogati; Synergistota; Synergistia; Synergistales; Thermovirgaceae.